AUGGAGUUUGGACCUGGAAGAUUGGCGAAGUCUGGUAUCGUUAGUGAUGAUAUGGAGUAUGAUGAUUCAGAUGCAGAAGUGUGGAAUCCCGUGACCAGUAUGAAAAAGAAUAGAACAAGAAGGUGUUCUGAGAUGAGUGAUAGUGACAGAGAAAAGCAGAAUGAGUCGAAAAAAGCAAGGAGGAAGGAGGAAGGAGAAGUGUGGAAAGUGAUUGUGGAGUUUGAAGAGAUAUCUAGUAGCAAGCUACACCCAGUCAAACUGUCGAAAGCUAUGAGGAAUGAGAUUGGUUCGGUCAAACAGGCAAGGUUCUUGAGCAAAGGAAGGAUGUUAAUAGAAGCUGUUAACAAGGAUCAGCAAGAAAAGAUUUUGAAAAUGAGUACACUGAACGAAGUGAGAAUCAAAAGUCAUAUCCCUGGUAUAAAUCGUAAGAUACGUGGAGUGAUAACCGGAGUGCCAAUAGACUUAAGUAUUGAAGAACUGCAGAAAGAAAUCAAGGGAGCCAAAGUGACUGUUGAAAAAAGGUUGUCCACCAGAUACCAGGGGAAAAUAGUGGACAGUUUGUCUGUGCUUAUUCAGUUUGAAGGGGCAAUAAAGGAUAAGGUUACGAUUGGAUACCUGAGUUACCCGGUUAGAGAAUUUGUUCCCAGGCCAUUGCGGUGCUUUAAAUGCCAGAGGUUUGGGCAUAUAGCAGGACAAUGUAGGGCAAAGCCAAGAUGUGCCAAAUGUGCAGGGGAACAUGAAUACGGUAAAUGCGAGGCAGAGGCUAAAGCUAAAUGCUGCAAUUGUGGAGGGGAUCACAGUGCGGCAUAUCAAGGAUGCGAAGCACAGAUUAAAGCAAAAGAAAUUCAGAAAUAUAAAGUCCAGAAUAAAGUAACAUAUGCAGAGGCAAUCAAACAAGUAAAAGGACCACAAGGUGGUGCAAGUGUGGGUGUUGUUGAACCCUCUGAGUAUUCACAGCAAGCUUUAGAGCCAGUAGGUUUGCAAUGUGAUGUGAAUAAGGACACUUUGAUUGUGGAUAAGGCUAACUUUGUAUUCUUCAUGGCGAAGGUCAUAAAUCUAGCUAUGCAGGACAAAAGUACAAGGUCAGAUCGGAUAAAGAUUGUUGUGGAGGCAGCAAGGGAAUACUUAGACAUAAAGGAU
RNAcentral lists this long non-coding RNA (1140 nucleotides) under Gadus morhua (Atlantic cod). RNAcentral's name for it is "lncRNA (ENSGMOG00000035480.1)". The record is from RNAcentral. Lineage: Eukaryota; Metazoa; Chordata; Actinopteri; Gadiformes; Gadidae.